AGCAGUAGCCGCGGGAAUACGAGGGGAGCUAGCGUUGUUCGGAAUUACUGGGCGUAAAGCGCGCGUAGGCGGCUUUUUAAGUCAGAGGUGAAAGCCCGGGGCUCAACCCCGGAAUUGCCUUUGAAACUGGAAAGCUAGAAUCUUGGAGAGGUCAGUGGAAUUCCGAGUGUAGAGGUGAAAUUCGUAGAUAUUCGGAAGAACACCAGUGGCGAAGGCGACUGACUGGACAAGUAUUGACGCUGAGGUGCGAAAGCGUGGGGAGCAAACAGGAUUAGAGACCCCCGUAGUCCCUGUCUCUUAUAA
Molecule: ribosomal RNA, 303 nt
Filed under: uncultured bacterium
Lineage: Bacteria
Description: partial 16S ribosomal RNA
Rfam family: Bacterial small subunit ribosomal RNA
Source: RNAcentral